Molecule: ribosomal RNA, 478 nt
Filed under: uncultured bacterium
Lineage: Bacteria
Description: partial 16S ribosomal RNA
Rfam family: Bacterial small subunit ribosomal RNA
Source: RNAcentral
GAUGAACGCUGGCGGCGUGCUUAACACAUGCAAGUCGAACGGGAAUUAUUUUAUUUAAACUUCGGUCGAUUUCAUUUAAUUCUAGUUGCGGACUGGUUAGUAACGCGUGGGUAACCUGCCUUAUACAGGGGGAUAACAGUCAUAAAUGGCUGCUAAUACCGCAUAAUCGCACAUAGCUGCAUGUCUCAGUUUGAAAAACUCCGGUGGUAUAAGCUGGACCCGCGUUGGAUUAGCUGGUUGGUGGGGUAACGGCCCACCAAGGCGACGAUCCAUAGCCGGCAAGAGAGGGGGAACGGACACAGUGGGAAGGAGACACGGACCAGAAUAGUACGGGAGGGAGGAGUGGGGAAUAGUGCAAAAUGGGGGAAAACAAGAAGAAGCGACGACGCGUGAAGGAAGAAGUAUCUAGGAAAGUAAACGUCAAUAAGAAGGGAAGAUAGUGACGGUACCUGACUAAGAAGCCCCGGCUAACUACGUG